Small nuclear RNA from Caenorhabditis briggsae, 77 nucleotides. It matches the Rfam family "SmY spliceosomal RNA". Lineage: Eukaryota; Metazoa; Nematoda; Chromadorea; Rhabditida; Rhabditidae. The record is from Rfam.
CGUUCUAUUAAAACUAUUCAGGGCCUUCAUUAAGACCCGGUGUUCAAUUUUUGGAGCCUUGUCGCUUGCGGCAAGGG